GACGAACGCUGGCGGCGUGCUUAACACAUGCAAGUCGAACGGAAAGGCCCUGCUUUUGUGGGGUGCUCGAGUGGCGAACGGGUGAGUAACACGUGAGUAACCUGCCCUUGACUUUGGGAUAACUUCAGGAAACUGGGGCUAAUACCGGAUAGGAGCUCCUGCUGCAUGGUGGGGGUUGGAAAGUUUCGGCGGUUGGGGAUGGACUCGCGGCUUAUCAGCUUGUUGGUGGGGUAGUGGCUUACCAAGGCUUUGACGGGUAGCCGGCAUGGGAGGGUGACCGGCCACAUUGGUACUGAGAUACGGCCCAGACUCCAACGGGAGGCAGAAGUGGGGAAUAUUGCACAAUGGGCUGAAGCCUGAUGCAGCAACGCCGCGUGCGGGAUGACGGCCUUCGGGUUGUAAACCGCUUUCGCCUGUGACGAAGCGUGAGUGACGGUAAUGGGUAAAGAAGCACCGGCUAACUACGUG
Molecule: ribosomal RNA, 468 nt
Filed under: uncultured bacterium
Lineage: Bacteria
Description: partial 16S ribosomal RNA
Rfam family: Bacterial small subunit ribosomal RNA
Source: RNAcentral